AUAGCCGUUGGAAACGACGAAUAAUACCCUAUGACAUAAACUCUUCGCAUGAAGAAACUUAUCAAAGAUUUAUCGGUGUAAGAUGGACUCGCGUCUGAUUAGCUAGUUGGUGAGGUAACGGCCCACCAAGGCGACGAUCAGUAGCCGGCUUGAGAGAGUGUACGGCCACAUUGGGACUGAGACACGGCCCAGACUCCUACGGGAGGCAGCAGUU
RNAcentral lists this ribosomal RNA (214 nucleotides) under uncultured Anaerococcus sp. Its description in RNAcentral is "partial 16S ribosomal RNA". It matches the Rfam family "Bacterial small subunit ribosomal RNA", at positions 143 to 355 of the family's 1533-position model. Lineage: Bacteria; Bacillati; Bacillota; Tissierellia; Tissierellales; Peptoniphilaceae. The record is from RNAcentral.